UCGUUAAGUGAUGAUGUGAUGGACAGAGUACCAUGUCAUCACGCAUUGUCACAAGCAUCUUAUUGCCAUGUCACCACCUUCAAUGACGUGUCAGUGAUUGGGUGUGAUGACAUGACACUCCAUCUGUCACAUCAUCACUUAACGAAA
Molecule: non-coding RNA, 147 nt
Organism: Glycine max (soybean)
Lineage: Eukaryota; Viridiplantae; Streptophyta; Magnoliopsida; Fabales; Fabaceae
Source: Rfam